Molecule: non-coding RNA, 3045 nt
Organism: Oryza sativa Japonica Group (Japanese rice)
Lineage: Eukaryota; Viridiplantae; Streptophyta; Magnoliopsida; Poales; Poaceae
Source: RefSeq, a predicted model, not a curated record
UACCGUCCAUCUGCGUCUCUCCUAAUCUCAUCCGUCCGCUGUACACCGUAGCUCUAUCUCUUCCAGCGAUUUCGCCCGAUCUCAUCCCACCAGCGAUGUCGCCCCCCACGCGGUGACUGCGCCGCGCAAAUCCCCGGCGCGAUGACUCCGCCUACUCGCUCCGCGCCUCGCUCCCCGUCGCCUCCUCGCUCCGCACAUCGCUCCCCGCGCGCAUCCUCGCUCUGCACCUCCUCUCCUCGCGACGAUCCACCGCCGGACCAGCGACCUCGCCUCCUCGCUCCGCCGCAACGUCGGACCUCCCUCUUCCUCGCAACGGUUCAGCGACGGCGCACCACCGCACCGCCAUACCAGCGCCGAGGCUGCCGCCGCCCACGCCUAUCCGCCGGCGCCGGCGCCGAGGAAGGCCCCUUCCGCCGCCGCCGCCACCACCAUCGCCACCGUGCACUCGAGGUCGUCCCUCUUCCCCAUCGGCUGCAGCCUGAGCCGACGUCCUCCCCAUCCGCCACCGCCGCUGCCGCCGACGGAGCCGAGGUCGUCCCCAGCCACCGACGCCAACGGAGCCGAGGUCGUCUCCAGCCGAUGCCGCCGUUUUCCUGCUCUGCUACUGGUUGAAGAAAUCAUUCCUGGCAAGCAGUUGUGGAUCCCUAAUUCUGGAGUUCUUUCUCCUUCACCCAUGCUUACAUGCUGCCAUCCUCGAUUACUACCACCAUGGCUGCGUUGCAAGGUUGCAACACGGUGGUGGAUGUGGACUUGACAGAGCAGUAGCUUCACAUAAGUGCUUUGUUAUGUUAUCCUCAUGAGGAAGAGAUUGAAUGGAUUGAGGGGGAUUAAUUUCAGGCUCAAUAGAUUUGGAAUAAGUACCUUCCAAAUUCCCCUCAAUCCACAUGGGGAUGGAUGAACUCAACAAGGCCGAAUGCAUCUCAAAUACAAGUUGUGAUGUGAAGGUGAUAAUCAAGAUUGGAAAACCCAGGUAAGAUAUGACUUUAAGUGGUGCAAGUUAAUCGUGAUAGCAAAUCCGUUUAGUCUUAUUAGGAAAUGUCAUACAUGAAAGAAUGUGAUUGACAAAAAUAUUUUUUUAGCCUUCUGAUUUGCAGAUGCUUUAUUGGAGUUGUGCUGCUCCUCGCGACAAACAUGAAAUGGAGAAGAGAAGGGUAUACUCACAUGCAUAUAUUAUAUAUUGAUAUUUGGCCUAUUGUAGAAACUAUUGGUUUUAAGCAUACAUGCCCUAAAAAGCAUAUGGUUUCUAUAGUAAGGGUUGAUAACUCCAUAUUGAUAUGUUCUCUUAGAAAUACAUGAAAUAGAAAUUUGUGUGACAUCUAGAAAAACACCUUGAUUCACCUUUCUAAAAUGCUUCCAGUUAUGUUUAACUAAUGAACUCUGGAUAAAUUAAACUUGCUGAUGCAAAACCAUAAUGGAUUUGUAAGAGGUAAUGGCUUUGGAUCUUCAGUGAAGAGUAAUCUCUAUUUUCUCAGGUUCAUUAAAGGUCAACAGGGCACGACCAGCAAAUUGAUUUUAUGGAUGUUCUUUCAAGAACUCACACCCUUUUAUUUAAUCUUGUAAAUUUGAUGUGUGAUUGAGUUUCUAGGGUCAGAGCUUCAAGUGUGAUUGAAGCAGAUCUACAUUUUGUGAGAGAUUAUGCAGAGUAAAAACGACGUAGUAUUUUCUUUCAUAAUACAAUUUGUCAUGCUUCAUUUAUUUUUCUUAUGGAGCACACACACGUUGAUUUUACUGCUUAAAUGAUAUUUGGAAUACCUGAUGGGAAAUCCACUGAUGAGUCCUAUUUAACAGAAAUUAGUGAGAUACUUUUUGCAAAAUGGAACAUGAUACUUUCUGCCAAAUGAAACAUCUUUUAGCCGCCCUACUUGUUUCUUCACAGUUACCGGUAAAAUACUCUCACAGUGACAUGUACAACAAGCUAGGAACAUAAACUUAAUAUGUACUAGAAUGUUUAGGACUAUCCUUAUGAUAAUUCAUGUGCUCGAUUUAGCAUUUCAGAAUGUACCUCAUACUCUCAAUGGUAUAGAUGCAAGAUAAGCUGGCAGCUUUGGUUGCGUCAAUAGGUUUUGUUAUUUUCUUUUUUAGAUUCUCUAUCAUGAGAAAAAGCUCAGCCUCUUGGUAUUAAUGUGAAAUUGGGAUAUGGCUCUUCUGUUACCAUGGAAAAUUAAUUUGUUGUACGAGCAAUUAUAUUUACAUCUGUACAUUAGCAUACAAGCAAACCUUCGUUUGUACAGCCUGCACUGGCAUAAUUGGGAAAUUAAGCUUAUCCCUGUCCAGAAGCAUAUAUCUAUUAAAUGAUUUUUUAGCACGUUGUUGGCAAGAGAGGAACUAAAGUAUGCUACUGCAUUGUGUAUUUUUGCUUGACACAUGGAAUUUGAUUUGUGGAACCCAAAUUACCAAACAAUUUAAGUAGAUCCCUCCAUUACCCCUUUUGUUAGUUGCAUUAUAUAGGCACAGUUUAGAUGGAACUCUAUUGAAAAUCUUACGUAAUAUCAUUAUAGAAGAGGGCUGUUUGAAAGGCUGGCAGCGACAGGAGGCUUACUAAUUGUAGUAUCGAGUAUGGCUACUCCUCUUUCUUAUGUUCUAUUUCCUGUUUACCUAUUCUUCUUUCAGUUUACUGACCAUUAUAGCAUUUUGGUCAAGCUCAUGUAGAUAUCUGUGGAAGUUGUUUCCUUCAUAUGAGUGGGGCACUCUAGAUUCUAUGGAUGAUCUUAUGUUGUUUUAUCUUUCUGUCAAAUUAUAAUGGAAGUUGUUUGAGGUACUGGAUUGAACUAAUAAGGAAAAAUCAUUGUAUGUCUGGUUAAAUUUAAAGUUGUUUCAUGUUCUAAAGAGUUAGAUCUGUACUGUUGAUACUUGAUAGAAGUGAGAUGAGAGUGUCACUCCAAUUGAUAACCCCCCUCCCCCCCCUCCCCCGAACUAUGGUGGUGUAUCAAAUCUGUUCAGGGGCAAGGUAUGCCAACAUGGCAGGAAGCCACUCCAAAGGAUUGCUUGUGAGAUGUAAAUAAUACAACCACUUUCUGGUAUUGAAUCUGGGUUGCCCAUGUAGUA